AAGAAAUAAAAGAGAGAGUUGAGGCAGAGACAAAUAUAAGGGGUUUCCGGCAUAUUAUUUCACAUUCAUUCGCAACCUUUCAAUGAACGAGGUAAGAUACUUUUGUGCAAGUAUUGUCGUUUUCUUAUGCUUUUAUAUUCGAUUAAAUAUGCAAGGAUUGCUAGUAGACCUUCAAGUUCUAUUAAAAGAGAGAUGAAAUCCUACCGGAUGAUAAAAACAUCUAAGAUGGGUGUGUCACUUGGUCACUGAUAUACUCCAUAAGAGCAUAGUGAUAUAAAAUGUAGAUUUUAUUUGUUAUAUCUUUGUGUAUGGAAACUACAUGUAUCUUAUUGGGUGUUUUCAAAUACUCACUCUUACAAAAAUUUUUCUGGGCGAAAUGAUGAUGCGGACUGCUAAGUGAAUUAAAGAAAGGAAGAAGAAAUUAAACACUUAGUUCGUUUUUUUAUGUCUCUAAAUCUAAUUGUUAGUUUUAUUUGUUCAUAGACUCAUUUAUUUAAUUAGUCAAUUGAUUGUGUUUUAAAUUUUUUAGAAACUCAUAUCUCGCGUUUAAAUUGAUAUUUAUGAUUGAAAAUAAAGAAUUUAAAGAAAAUUGAAUUUUUCGUACACUCUAAUUUUUAUAAAAAUUACGUGCGUUAAAAAAAUCAAACUCACUUAUCAGGGCUUCUCUUCAAGAUGAUAUCUAGCAAUAACUAUCUCGUGGAUUUCAUACGUCCUACAACGAUUUAGCCAUGAACUCCAACAUGAAUAAACAUCAAUUCCCACUAAACCACUUCAACAUUCAUCAAAGCACUUAGCCUAAAUAAAUUAAAGAAGUAAUUAGAAACCUCAAAUUCAUACUUCAUUUGAUCUAUAUUAUUUGAUCCAUUUAUACUUUAUGAGUCUAACUAAAACCAUCAUGUACACAUAUGACAAGUACUUCACUAUUUUCUGAAUUUAUGGAUAUUGCAAAAUAUUUUCUUUACUCAAUAUUAAUCCCCAGUACAACUUGUGAACCUGAAGAGCAACAUCUAAAACCAUUCGCAAAGUUCGUAUGACAUUCUUAAACUUUUGGCCCUUGGCCAUCUAAAUCGUCAAAUCACUCAAAUUCUGAAUAAGUAAAACAAUCCUAGACAAUUAUACUGUUGUUGGAAAUCCUCAACCAUCUAUCUUAAUGUUAAUAAUCUGUCUUGAUACUAUAUUUGUUUAUAUCCUAUUCUCUUCAAAGCAACAUAUUUGCACAAUAUGACAACCAUUACGAAUUGACUAUGGUAGCCAAAAUCAUAACUUGCCAACUUAUAAAUGCACUUUGUUCCUGACUAUCUUAAUAACUAAUUUUAUGGCAAACAUUCCAUAGAAAAUUGUUUGCGCCUUUACGAAAUUUCUAUUAAAACUCCUUGGGAAAAGUUAUUCCUCCAUUGCAAUCACAUAUUGUUUCGAUAUUUCAGAACCUUUAUCCUCAAUUCUCAUAUUGCCUUUAUUGGAGAAGAUCACCACCACAUGAUUAUCAUUAUCAGAAUACCUAAUCAUAUGAGCAUUAUGAAAUAGCUUAUCAAAAGCAUUUGUUACCUACUCCCCUUUAAACUAGAACCCUCAUCUUUGGACUUUACACCUACCAUCGACGAACGAUGGAAAAGACCCAUAAUUUUAUUCACAUGUCUAGAUAAAAAUGAAGAAACCAUUCAUUUAUCCAAAUUACACCAAAAUAUAAAUAUUUCUUUCCAAAUUUUUAGUCAUUCGUAACUGACCAUUCAUUUGGAUUGAUGGUUUUGUCUCUAACAAAGGUUUUGGACCUUGGCAUAUCAUCCACUUCAAAUGAUUCUACAAACUCUUGAUAUAGUCUAGCUAUUUAGUCCUCCACUCUCUGAUAACAUAAAAACAUUAAAUAGGACGUAAAUGGGUUUCAUGGAGGGGAAGAGGUAUUUAAAUUAUUUUUUCUUAGUUUUAAAAAAUACUUCUUUCCUUCACCUCUUCCUCCCCUGUGUACUUGCGAAAAUGUACCUUCUUUCAGGAACUUAUUAUAUUUAUCAUAAAAUGUUUGAACUAUAGAAAAGCCUAAAAUGUGUCAUGAACCAUACAAGUGUCCAAAGCACAUAUAAAACCCAAUAAGAGAGAAAAAUAUCGAUGUUAUUAGCUUCCUUUAUAAAACAGUAUGCAAAGAAAAAUUAAUAAGUACCAAAAGGAAGUCGAAUUCAAACAAACCCUCCUUCUAAUAUCCAAAAAUAUAUAACAAUCAAAUAUAACUAACCCCCAAACUAAAACCAACAGCGCUGCUUAUAAAAAUAGUGUUGGGUUUGUGACCCAGGAAAAAUAAUUGUUUCCUUAUUUUCACGUGUAAAAAAUUGCUUCCUUAUUUUCACGCGAUUUUAUUGGAAAUAUAUUAUUUCCUUGUUUCACAUUAUUUCCAUCUUUAUGGUAUUGUAUGUACCUAUAAAUAGUGACCUCUUCUUUUAGUUUAAUUCAAGCAAAAAUUGUUGUGUUGUAAUUUUCUCUCCAUAUCGUCAUUAUAAUAAAACAUUGUUUCUUCUACUUAACUCUAUUUGAUUUCUUUACUUUAAAUCUUGUUUAAUCUUUGUGAUCUUGUUACAUAGUUCAUACAACGUCAUUAACUCAAUCCUUGUGUCGCCUUUAGGAUCAACAAUUGGUAUUAGAGCUAGGCUAUAGGUUCUUCAUGAUUUGAUUGGGAUUUUUUAGAGAUGGCUACAUUAAAAUAUGACAUUCCACUAUUGGAUCGCAAUACAAAAUUUUCUCUAUAGCAAGUAAAGAUGAGAGUUAAUCUGGUGCAGUUGGUUUGGAUGAUGCGUUGCUGAAUUUUGAGAAGAUGCCAGUUAAUUGGACAACGAAUGAGGAACAACGGAGGGAUCAAAAUGUUUUAUCGCAUAUUCAUCUUCACUUGUCCAAUAAUAUUCUACAGGACGUCUUGAAAGAGAAAAUAGCGACUGCUUUGUGGUUGAAACUGGAGUAGUUAUGCAUAACUAAAAGUCUCACUAGCAAAUUGGCUCUAAAACAAAAGUUGUAUUCCCAUUACAUGGCAGAAGGAGGGUCACUUGAAGACCACAUUGCUGUGUUCAAAGAGAUAGUUGUAGACUUAGAGACAAUGGAGGUUAAGUAUGAUGAGGAGGAUCCGACCUUGAUCCUAUUGUGUUCGUUGCCCACAUCUUAUUUAUCGUUUUGGGACACCAUUCUAUACAGUAGUGAUACUUUGACCAUUGAGGAUGUCUAAAAUGCUUUGUUCUCAAAAGAGAAAAUGAAGCAUUUGGUUGGAACUACAUCAAGGGAUGAGGAAGCUCUAGUAUCUCAUAGUGAUCGACGGAGGGGUAGAUCGAGGAUGAACGUCAACCAUUUGUACUGCUUCUACUGCAGGAGGAAAGGACACGUUAAGAAAGAUUGCGAUAAGUCGCAUGCUAAAGGUAAUUUAGCUGCAAAUCAUGGGAGGCGAUCAUGUACUUCCGACGAGACCAAUUUUGUUGAGGAUUUUUCGAAUGGCGGUGAUGUGCUGUUAACCGUGGUAUCUAACAUGGAGUCUAAACCUGAAGAGAAAUGGAUUCUCGAUUUGGCAUGUUCGCAUUAUAUGUGUUUCAAUUGGAAUUUAUUUCAGACAUAUGAGGCUAGAAGCAAGGUAGAGUUGUCAUGGGAAACAACCAGUCUUGCCACAUUGCUGGAAUUGAUCGAGUCAGAUUGAGAUUGCAAGAUGGGAUGGUCAAAAUGAUUGAUUAGGUUCGACAUGCUGUAGACCUGAAGAAGAAUCUCAUUUCGUUGAGUACCUUGAAUUCAAAAGGGUAUAAAUUCUGUGGUGGAGGUGGAAGUGGAGUCUUGAAGGUCCAAAGGGGUGUCCAAGUUGUACUGGAUGGGCGAAAAAAGUCUCAAAUGUACAUCUUACAGGGGAGCACGGAACAAGUUAAGAGCUAUCUAAAAAAGUUUAGUGGCGAAGUGAAAUUCAGUUUGGUACAGUACCUUUUGUGACGGGCUCUGGGUCGGUUCAAAACAUUACUCAAGGGAGCAUUGGUGAUUCUGUUUAGUCACCAAUUUCAGUGGAUACACUGUGUUCAAUUGUCAGGGUUGGACUCAUGGAGCGUAGGUACAGUGAUGUUUGUGAAGCUUUUGGGAUCAUUGAAGGCAACAAUUCUGGCAUAGGGUCUUUUGAUUAGGCAUUUGGUGUGGUUUCUGCUAAAAAGGUGCUUCGAUCCUGUUUUUUCAACAGUAAUUCCCUGGUAGAAUUUUGGGAACCUGUGAAUAGGGUUCAAGUAUCGCUUGUGGACUCCGGGAAGAGGAAGAUGUUUUGUGAUGGAGAGUUUUGGUUGCUGUUUUGAAGAGCUCAAUUAGUUCGAUGUAGUUGGACAUAUUUUUCUAAGUGGAGAAAUUUUGGAGCUUGGUUUGUUGCACCGAAAUUUGAAUCAAAGUAAAGAUUGUUGGGUUUAUGACCCAAAUUAGGAAAAAUAUUUCUUUAUUAUCAAGUGAUUUUAUUGGAAAUAUAUUAUUUCCUUAUUUCACAUUAUUUUUGUCUUUAUGGUAUGGUAUGUACCUAUAAAUAGUGUCUCUUCUUUCAGUUUAGUUCAAGCAAAAUAUGAUGUGUUGUAAUUUCUUCUCCAUAUCGUCGUUAUAAUAAAACACCAUUUUCUCUACUUAACUCUCUUUGAUUUCUUUACUUUAAAUCUUGUUUCAUCUUUGUGAUCUUGUUACAUAUUUCAUACAACGUCAUUAAUCUCAAUCCUUGUGUCGCCUUUGGAAUCAACAAAUAGGUUCUGUUUUACCUUUCCCGCUAAUUGACAAACUAAAAAUCUGAUUCCUAGGUUUCUUGUGGUAACCCUUUGAAUGCAUGAUCUUUUUAAGAUUACUACAAUAAUAUAUGAAAUAGAAUAUGAAGAAAAUUCAUGUAAAUACAUACAUGCAUAAACAAAUAGAGCUUACUGGAUGCAGAAAAUUGAAUGGAUCUGUGAUGUGUCGGGGUUGGAUGGCCAGAGGAAGUAGGCAAUGACUACAAGGUUUCCUGUUGAGAGAGGAGAGAGUUUUCAAAAUGCGGAUUUUUUAUGUGAACCCGCAUAGCAACGGUGACUAAGGAACGCACAAGAAAUUGUUAGAACCCCAGGAAAGCUAAAAGAACCCAAUUUGUGGAUUUAAAUCAAGAAUAAUGAACCAAGCAAGCCAAACAAGACAACAAUGUGUGGACCUCUGGAUUACACAUUUCGUAAUUCACACCCGGUAUUGAACGCCACAAGAUUUUUACCUUGAUAAGUUCAAAAUUCAUUCCAAAGAAGAACAAGGAUUUGAAUGCAAGAAAAUUGCCUCACUUUUAAUGUCAAUAAUGUUAAAGUUGUACAAUGAAAUAAUGAAAAUCAUAUUUAUACUAAACCCUAAAAUCUAGUUAAAAAUGGAAUAAAGUCCUAAGAGAUUGCAAAGAUACCAAAAAAUAGAGUUUUGAUACAAUUAGGAAACUUUCGCGAAAAAGAAAAACUUUUGUGUCACUUAGUACCACGUGACCGCAUGGUACUCUCCAUUAUGGUUGUAUAAGUCACUUGUACUGGCUCUCUUAACUCUCGGUCGACCACCAUGGGACCGCAUGGUUUCCAAUACUAUGCGGUCGCAUAGUGUUGCUAUUCGGCUCUAACAUCGAUUGCUUGUAUCGUGUCGAUCCAAAUGGUUUCGGUUCUCGACCCCAACAAAAAACUUACUUCCUUUCUUGCAUAGAUCGAUGUUUCAUCAAUGGUUGAUUGCACAAUUAAACUCAUCUCUUGAUUGACCCACUUUGCCCUCGAACGCAUCAUCAAUCCUCCUUCGAUAAUCAACGGGUCUCUUCUCGGACUCGUCUUCAUCGGGCCUUAUUCUUAUAUCACAUCAUCCCCUCCCUCUUCAAAAAGAUCCAUCCUCAAAUCUGUACUUGCCACAAAGACAAACACACACGCACACAGAUCAAAUACAUUAAAUGUUGCUGAAACAUUAUACUCACCAGGGAGAUCCAAUUCGUAGGUAUUGUUGUUGAUCUUCUCAACAACUUGAAACGACAUCUCUUUAUGGUUGCAACUUUGAUUUUCUUUGCUCUGGAAAGCGCUUCUUUCUAAAAUGUACCCAAACCAAAUCGCAUGGUUUGAAGGUCAUGCUCAUCUGGCCCUUGUUUACUCGUGAUGCAAUGUGUUUAUUUUUGUUCUCGAUCUGCAUUCUAACCUUUUAUAUGGAGUUACUUUAUCAAUUUAGCUUUUCUUUUACCAUCUAAGCUACCACAUUUAUUCACAGGUAAAUGUAUUAAAUCCAUAAGGGUUGGUGGAUUAAAACCAUAAACAAUUUCAAAUGGAGAAAAUGACGUAGUAGAGUGAGUAGCCCUAUUAUAUGCAAAUUCAAUGAAAGGUAAAUACUCCUUCCAACUUUUCAAGUUUUUAUUGAUCAUAGUGCGCAACAAUUGAGUCAUUGUCCUAUUUACCACAUUGGUUUGUCCAUUGGUGCAUGGAUGACAAGUUGUAGAAAAUAGCAAUUUUGUGCCUAAUAGAAUCCGUCAAAAGUGACUUAAAAAUUUGACAUCCCCAUCUGACACUAUACUAUUAGGAACUUCAUGUAAAUGCACUAUCUCCUUAAAGAACAAGUCAGCAAAGUGAGUGACAUCGUCGAUUUUAUGACAUGGUAUGAAAUAGGUUAUCUUGCUAAACCUAUCUACCACUACAAAGAUUGAAUCUCAACCCCUCUUAGUCCUAGGUAAACCCAAAACAAAAUCUAUCAAAAUAUCAACCCACUAUUCACUAGGAGUAGGUAAAGGAGUAUACAGCCCUUGAGGUAAAACUUUAGAUUUAGUCUUUUUACAAGUUAUGCAUCGACUACAUAUCCGUUCAACAUCGCUUUCAUUUUAGGCCAAUGAAAAAGUUUCCCUAACAUUUCUAAAGUCUUAUGAACCUGAAAGUGUCCCAUUAAUCCCCCAAUAUGUGCUUCCCUCACUAACAAAUCCUGCAUUGAACAAUUUGGAACACAUAAUUUAUUUUCCUGAAACAAAUACCACUUAUGCCUAAAGAACUUAUCGACAACUACUUUACUACAUGAUUUGUAAACAUCGAAAAAAUCUAAAUCAUCUUCAUACAUGUCCUUAAUGUGUUCAAAACCAAGCAAUUUAGAACUUAGCGAAGUUAGUAGCAUAUACCUUCGAGAUAAUGUAUCUGCCACUACAUUUUCUUUACCUUGCUUGUAUCGGAUGACGUAGGAAAAUGUCGCUAUAAACUCCAUCCACCUGCAUGCCUUUUUGUUUAGCUUCCCUUGACCUCGCAAAUGCUUCAGUAACUUAUGGUCAGUGUGUAUCACGAAUUCCUAAGACCACAGAUAAUGCUGCCAUGUCUCCAAAGCUCAAACGAGUGAGUACAAUUCUUUGUCAUUUGUAGGGUAGUUGAGAGCAGCUCUACUCAGCUUUUCACUGAAGUAGGCUAUAGGCCUCAUAUCCUGCAACAAAGCUGCUCCAAUCUCUAUUCCUGAUGGCUCACACUUAAUCUCGAACCUUUUUAAAUUUAGAAAGUGCUAAAAUAGGUGUUCUACACAAUCUAUCCUUAAUGGUAUUAAAUGCAUGCUCUUGUUCUUUUUCCCAUUAUAAUCCUAUGCUUUUCUUAACUACCUCAGUGAGUUGUGUGGUGAUUGUGCUAAAGUCUUUCACAAAUCGCCUAUAAAAAGUAGCCAAGCCAUGAAAACUUCUUAUUCCAGUUAUGCUUUUAGAUAUUGGUUAAUCUUUAAUUGCCUUUAACUUUUCUUCAUCUACUUGUAUCCCGUUUGCACUAACCACAAAUCCUAGGAAGACAACAUUUUCCAUGUAAAAUGUACAUUUCUUAGAGUUAGCAUAAAGUUGUUCUUUCCUUAAAACCACAAGCAUACUCCUUAAAUGUUCUACAUGUUCAUCAAGUCCUUACUAUAGAUUAAUAUGUCGUUAAAGUAAACCACAACAAAUUUUCCUAUAAAGGCACGCAAAACAUGAUUCGUCGACCGCAUGAAAGUCCUUGGUCAUUCUAAGUCCAAACGACAUUACUAACCAUUCAUACAAGCUAUAUUUAGUUUUAAAUGUAGUUUUCCACUCAUCACCUUCGUUCAUUCGAAUUUGAUGGUAACCACUCUUAAGAUCAAUUUUACUAAAUAUGCAUGCAACAUGUAACUCAUCUAGCAUAUUAUCUAGUCUAGGGAUACGAUGAUGAUACUUUACUGUUAUGAUGUUGAUGGCUUUGCAAUCCAUGCACAUUCUCCAGGCCCCAUCUUUCUUUGGCACAAGUAGCAUUGAAUGGUACAUGGACUCAUGCUCUUCCUUACGUAGCCUUUGUUCAUCAGUUCUUCCACUUGCCUCUUAAGCUUCUUUGUCUCCUCAGAAUUACUUCGGUAAGCUGUUCGGUUUGGAAUCACAGUUCCAGCUAUAAAAUCAAUUUGAUACUCAGUACCUCAAAUGGGUGGCAAUCCACUAGGCAUAUCCUCCGAAAAUACAUCUUCAAAUUCCUACAACAAAGAUUUAGCCAAACGAGAGAGGAAUAGGUUAGGUUCCUCAAGAUUGAUGAGUGAUUUUUUAUAGAUCAACAAAAUCAUAUCUUCUCUCUCAAAUACUGCUCUCUUCAACUCAUUCCCUUUUGCAAAGUAAUUCGCUUUAGACUUUUCUCUCCUCUGGAGAGAGUCUCUUUCUUUUCGUUCUUGUGGCUUCACUCUCUUUUUCUAGCUACUAGCUACCUCACUAUUUUAUAUGUUGUUUGCCACCUAACUUUUUUCUCUCUUACUCACCAUCUCACUUUUUUCUCUCUUUUUUUCUAACUCUCUCAAUCUAUUCUCUUUUUCAUUUUUAGUUUGAUUUGGUCCUCAUACACUUGUACCGGUGUUAAUGGCAAAAGGGUGAUGGACCUCCCAUCCUUGACAAAGCGAUAGCGAUUUUUGUACCCGUCAUGAAUGACGUUCCUAUCGUAUUGCCAUGGUCUCCUCAAUAAAAGAUGUCCUGCAUGCAUAGGUACUACAUCACACACUACAUCAUGAGAACUACUGAUUGAGAAAUUUAUCAGUACCCUCCUAUUUACCUUAAUUUCUCCUCAUUCAUUUAACCAUUGUAGCCUAUAAGGUCUAGGGUGAUUUAAUAAAGUUAACCCCAAUUUCUCUACAAGAGUUGUGCUAGCUACAUUCGUGCAACUUCCACCAUCAAUGAUCAUGCUACAUACUUUAUCCUUAAUGUGGCAUCGAGUGUGAAAUGUGUUUUCCCGUUGUUGCUCCAAGUUAUCCGCCUUGAUUUGAGCGUUAAGAGCUCGCCUCGUGACCAACAGCUCUCUAACAACAAACUCCACUUUCUCCCCAUCACUAAUCUCCUCCAACUUCAACAUUCAUCAAAAUCGCCUUCACUCCUACUCAACACCUCUCAUUAUCCCGCAACACUAUCGCUCUUUUGUUUGGACAUUGAGAAGCAAUGUGUCCCGACCCCAUGCACCUAAAACACUUAAUAUCCCAACUCCUUGAUGGUUGUGUCUCCGUCUUGGGUACGGGCUUGCUAGCACUUUCUUAUUUUCCCCUUGGCAAUUCAAUCCUUCCUCUAGAAAUAGCUCCUUCUCCUUUUUUGUUAUCUCACUUUAGUUUCCAAGAUAAAUUAGAAGCCGAAGAGCCCAAUGGUUGCCUAGCUGUCCCCUUCCUCUUCAACUGUCUUUCUACCUGCAUUGCCACGUACAACAUUUCCUCUAAUUCCAUAUAGUGCUACAACUCCACUACAUUGGCUAUAUCCCUAUUCAACCCAUUUAGAGAAUGAGCCAUAGUGGCUUCUCAUUUCUCUUCCACAUUCGCCCUAAUCAUUAAUAUCUCCAUCUCCUUGUGGUGAUCCUUUACACUCCUCGACCCCUGAAACAAACUUUGUAAUUUUUGAUGGAGUUUCCUAUAGUAGUGACUAGGCACAAAUUGCUUCAUCAUAAUAGCUUUCAACUCAUCCCAAGUAUUGAUAAGUCGUUCCUGAUUCCUACGCCGUGAUGUGACCACUUGAUCCCACCUAGUUAUGUCGUAAUCAGUGAAUUCAAGAAUGACUAUCUUUACCUUCUUCUCUACCAAAUAAUUAUGACAUUCAAAAAUUAGCUCCACCUUUUUUCCCACUCUAAAUAAACCUCUGAAUCACUUCUUCCCUUAAAUGGUGGAACCGACAUCUUAAUGUUACGCAUGUUCCCAUCUAUUUCUUCGCCAACGUUAUUCCUACCUUUUCUUUCAAGCCUAGCUCCUCUAUUUCUCACCCACCCCAUUUCUACCCCCAUUGACACAUCCUCGUCCAAAUCACUACCAUAUUCAUACUCCUCAUGCUUUUCCAUCCUAGGCUCCCAUCUGCCCGGUCUCCUUUCAAUAGGUACUCCAACUCGUUGCCCAUGACUAAAAUUUGUAACUGAUGUAUCAAACCUAUCCAACCUAUCACCCACAUCGUUAACAAUCUCUCAAACUGCCGCGUCAUAUUAUCAGACGCGUUGAUGUGAUUAACGUUUCUGCUUGAAUUGGAAUCCUCCAUGUCAGACAUCCUAGUUCUAUGAUUUUCUUUUGCCUGACUUGUAUUUUACUUUGUAUCACUCAAUAUGGCUUUUACCCUCUAUUGAUCUCACCACUCUGUCUUUUUUCACUCAGCGCUUACGUCCAAGUGCAACAAAGUUAACUCAACAUGAAUUAGUCUGGUGGAUUCUAAACCGAAUGUAAUCAAGAAAAGCAACCGUAAGAGGACUUCAAACAAUUGGAAUGAACCUUUGAAUUGGAAACUAACAAAAUUUAAGAGUUGAUUGAAACGAACUUUGAAUUGAUUGGACAAAAAUAAAUGUGUCUCGAGAAAUUGAAAAAAAAAAAAUUGUUGGCAGUAAAGUCACAAUAACAAUUUUUUUGUACACCCCUUUUCUUGUGAAUUUUUUACUCUUCUCACUUUUUUGUGACUUUAUUUAAGAAAAGUGAUUACAAUACCAACAAAUCAAACUAAAGUUGUCUUGGAUGCUAGAUUAGCCCAAAGAACAACUUUUUAAAAAUUGAAGACAAUAUUACGAAUCAAAGACUCUAAAUAAUGAAGAACUCAAGAAAGUGAAAAUACUAGAAAAACAAAAUAAGGACUCAACAAUGAAAAUUAAAAGAUAUAACCUCGGUUAAUUUGGAGCCCAGGCAUUGAUACCAACUUAUAUGAACCUGCAUAGCAACGGUGACUACGGAACCCACACAAGAUUGUUAGAACACCAGGAAAGCCAAAAGAACUCGGUUCGUGGAUUUGAAUCAAGAAUAAUGAACCAAGCAACCCAAACAAGACAACGAUGUGUGGACCUCUUGAUUACACGUUUCGUAAUUCGCACCCAAUGUUGAACGCCACAAGAUUUUUACCUUGAUAAGUUCAAAGUUUGUUCCAAAGAAGAACAAGGAUUUGAAAGUAAGAAAGUUGCCUCUCUUUUGAUUCUCAAUAAUGUUAAAGUUGUACGAUGAAAGAAUGAAAAACAUACUUAUACUAAACCCUAAAAUCUAGAUAAAAACAAAAUAAAGUUCUAAGAGAUUGCAAAUAUACCAAAAAGUAGAGUUUUGAUACAAUUAAGAAACUUUCAUGAAAAGGAAGAAUUUCAGUGUCACUUAGUACCAUGCGAUCACAUGGUACUCUCCAUUGCGUUCGUACAAGUCACUUGUGCUGCCUCCUUUAACUCUCGAUCGACGCAUGGUUUCCAACACUAUGCUCUCGCAUAGUGUUUUUGUUCGGCUCCAAAAUCUAUUGCUUGUAUUGUGUUGAUCCAAAUGGUUUCGGUUAUCGACCCCAACAUAAAACUUGCUUCCUUUCUUACAUAAAUCGAUGUUUCAUCAAUGGUUGAUUGCACAAGUAAACACAUCGCUUGAUUGAUCCGCUUUGCCCUCGAACGCGUCAUCGUCCUCCUUCGAUAAUCAAUGGGCCUCUUCCCAAGUUCUUCUUCGUCGGGCUUGAUUCCUGGAUCACAUCAGUUUUCUUUGGUGGUCAUUAGUGGUGAUCGUGUUUCAUUUGAGCCCUCAUAUAACUCAAAUUUUGAACUAUAGAAGAACCAAUUUGAUCAACAGCAUAUGAAAAGGGCUGUGACAUAAAUGAAUAGUAAACCUCUUUUAAGAGAAAGAGAUUCAUAUAUAAAUUUUAUUUUAUUUCAAAAUGAUGCAUAACCUCAAAAAGUUGAUUUUUAUCAAAUACAGAAAUGAAUAUUUGUCAAUCAAAUUUAAUAGACGAAUUCAUGUGGCAAAUAGCACACUUACGGGACAUUUAAUUUAAUUUUAAAUAUAAUAUUUUAUCUAUAGAAUUAAUUAUUGAAUUUUAAGAAGGUUAAUGUUAUAUGUAACGGGGAUGAAUAUUGUGAUUUUUUUAAAAUUUUGAAAUUGUAUUAGAGAUUUAGAGUGGAAUGAAUAUAUAAAAUUUGUGUGGAUAUAUAGUGCUUAAAUUAAAUAAUUCAAUGAGGACAAUAUUAUAAUGUGAUGUGAAUGACAAUAGUAAUUUUUUAAAAUUGUAAUAUUUUUAAGGGAUGAAUAUAUAAAAAAUUGUUGAUGUACAUAGUUGUACCCUAUAUUUAUAGUAGGGAUAUAGAAUAAUUUAAUUUAAAAUUUGUGGUUAGCUAAAAUUUGUAUAUUUCAUUAUAAAGGAUUAUUCUAGUAAGUUUUAUUAUAUUUUUCCCACUGAAAUUGUCUGAUUUUAGUUCGAAAAUUUUAAAUAUAGUUUCAGUAUAUUAUUUUCGUAUUAUAAAUAGAUUUUAUCAUUUAAAUUUUUAAACUUAUUCUAUAUUUAAAUUUUUAGGAUUUUUUUUGUAAAUUAAAUUUUUAAAUAAGUUUAAAUUAAUAGGUAGGAUUGAUCGAAAUUACACUUGUGAUGAAUUUAUUUAUUUAUUACUAUUUUGCAAAAAAUAAUAAAUGUUGCAAAUCCUUGCUGUAAUACACGUAUUUAGCAGCAUUCAUUAAACGUUGCAAAAAAUAAUUUUUUUCUCAACAUUAAAAAGGCAUUGCAAAAAGUGAAACUUUCGCAACAACCAAUUAACGUUGCAAAAGGCUAUAUUAAGAGUUUCAGCAAUAGGCAUUAAAUGUUGCUAUAGAACUAGGUUUUAACAACAUUCAUUAAAAGUUGAAAAAAUGAAACUUUUCGCAACAAUCAAAGAAUGUUGUAAAAAAUGAAACUUUUCGCAACAGCCAAUAAACAUUCAAAAGGCUAUAUAUUAAGAGUUUCAGCAACAAACAUUGAGCGUUGCUAUAGAACUAGGUGUUAACAACAUUCAUUAAACAUUGCAAAAAUGAAACUUUUCACAACAUUCAAACAACAUUACAAAAAGUGAAACUUUCCGCAAUAGUCAAUAAACGUUGCAAAAGGCUAUAUAUUAAGAGUUUUAGCAGCAAGCAUUAAAAGUUGUUAUAGAAAUAGGUUUUAAUGACAUUCAUUAAACGUUUCAAAAAAUGAAAUUUUUGCAACGCUCAAGUAGGGAUGGCAACAGGGCAAGGCAAGCUCCCCAUUACCCAUUUAAGGUUGGUCGGGAUUGGGGCGGUGUGGUUGCCCGUUACGUACCUGUUUAACUUUUUUAUAUAGUUUUUUAUAAUUCAUUUUAAUGCCCCCAUUCAUUCGAGUGAGACAAUAAUAUAGUUAUUAAAUUUUUUAAUUAAUUUAUAUAUUUUUGAAAGUUAAAUUAUUAGAAUAUAUUUGGUAAACUAAGGUUUUUAUUAUUUAUUAUAUUAUAUAAUCUUAGUUGAUAUCUUCUAUUAGAAUUAAUGAAAUUUUGUGGACUUUUUUUAUUUAGGGCCUAUUUGAGCCCCAUUUUCCUAAUAAUGCAUUUUAGAAUAAUAGAUUGGCAGAGAAUGUGUGAUUAAAAUAAUGAAAUUUUUUGAAUUUACGUAUAACAUUAUUUUAUUAAAAAAUGUGUGGUUGAAAAGAAAAAUAAGAAAAAUGUAUUUUAAAAUGAAUGGGAAUCAAAUAAGAGUUUAAAGUAUUGAAUUCUUUAAAAUAAUAAUAAAAAAAUUAAAUGGAGUGGGACAGGCUCCCCUUACCCGUACGCACCUUGGGAUGGAAUCCCCAUGCUCUGUACCCCCUACCCGUACCCGCCUUGGGACGAAGUGGGACAGGCUCCCCUUACCCGUAGCCGUUGAUUGAUUGAUUUCUAAUUGAUUAUGUUGUCAUUUCAUGUUUUACUUGCCUACAUAUAUGUCCUUCAUUCAUUAAUUAUGAAGUUAUGUUUUAUACGUAUAAUCAUGUAUGCUUUGAUAACGAUUUUUUUAUGAUGUGCAAUGAGUUAAUAGUUCAUCAGUUGUUGGUCCUUACAAAUGUUCUUUUCUGCAUCCUAAGAUUCAUGGGAAUACGAGUUCGCCAAUAUUUGUUUACGAGUUUUUGUUAUUCAAGAGUCACUCAUUUUCAUGGACUUGUUAAAAACAAGACAUCCAUUAUUGAACUAUUUCAAUAAAAAUGAAAAGGAGAAAAGGAAUGAUGCGUAAAAUUGCAAAAAAAAACUAUUUUCAUCUUAUUGUUCCCCCCCCCCCCCCCCCGCCCUCCCCUUCUAUAUUAAAUGUAGCAUUUCGGCUAAAUUAAAUAAAUAACAAGAGAGUUCAAAUAGUUACAUACAGAACAGCAGACUUGAACUAUCUGUCAUGCUAUAUAAACAGAAAUAAAGCAGAAAACUUUCUAAAUUGUAACAUGCACAUUGUGUAUGUAGCUGCAGGGUACAACAAUGAAAAUAAAUUCAAGUUAAUUUGGUAGUAAGCUGAUAAACUAAGAUUAAAGCGAGUUUAAUAGGUCUGUGGGGAAGUUAUACCUCAAUUUGUAAAUAAUUCGAAGGCCGUAGAUCAUUUUCCUAUAUAAUUGUCUAAUAAAAAGCAUCAUUAAUGGAAUAUCCUAAGAUCUAUCAAAAGAAGGUUUUUGAUAUACAUUUAUUAUUUUCCUAAAUCUAAUUUAUGUUAUAUUUCAAGGAAUUAGUAUCAAUUCCUAUUUCUCUUCAUUGUAUUGUUUCAUUUGUUCUGUUUUUUAAUGGAUUAAACUGUUCGGAUGUGCAUGACAAAAUAAAAAUUGCUUAUUAAGAGACCACCCAAUUUGUACACUCUUCCUCUUUAUUUUUCAUUUUUAGACUAUAACCUAUAUUUACAUUUCUUAGGAUUUUUGGGGCAAUCCAUAGUCAAUGUCAUCAAAUUAAGUUAGCAAAACUCCCACAAGAUUUCAUACUAUCCUUGGUUCUACUGAUCUUUUGUUGUUAAUUAUGUCUUCAUGUCUCUUUUCAAGUAUAAUGGAGAUAAUUUGAAGGUCAAACAAUGGAGGCUAAAGAGGACAAAUGCUGAGUGCAUAAGGAGCAUCAUCAUCAUCAUUUUCUAAAAUGGUGAGUAUCGUUAUCCUUCUCCAGGCUUACUUUUUCGCUUAUAUUGGGACAAUGGAGUGAUCUCCUGUGUAAUUCAAACCUUAUGCUUGUUUUCAUUAAUAAUAAUAAUAAUUAGAAAAAGUGAAAACACAAAAAUUUAUGUAUUACAUAGCUAGAUAGCCUUG
RNAcentral lists this long non-coding RNA (15388 nucleotides) under Olea europaea subsp. europaea. Lineage: Eukaryota; Viridiplantae; Streptophyta; Magnoliopsida; Lamiales; Oleaceae. The record is from RNAcentral.